This is an RNA transcript of Quercus robur (English oak), 5633 nucleotides long. It is a transcript of the gene named disease resistance protein RML1B-like, with no coding region annotated. The record is from RefSeq and is a predicted model, not a curated record. Lineage: Eukaryota; Viridiplantae; Streptophyta; Magnoliopsida; Fagales; Fagaceae. The transcript has 8 exons.
AUCAGAUAUUUGUUUAUACGAAACUUAAUGGAGGCAGCAACGAGGAGGUUUAGGUUGAAAAAAUUUCGUAAUCAGUGAUUUGCAAUUCCUUUCUCUUGUAUAAGGUCGAUUGUGCAUUUUCAUAGUUCAAUUGACAAUGCCUAAAAUAUAGAAAUAUAGUUUAGGGUAAAAAUUGGAGCUGGGUUAAGUGCCAGUCUAUGAAAAUCACCAGUGUCAUGAAACUCACCUAACCCAAAUAAAACAAAACCCCAAUACCCUCUUUCUCUCUCAGUCCACCAGUUCCCCCACCUUAGCUCCACCACCACCUCCACCUCCACAUCAAAUGCCGCCGGUCCCCUCUCUCACUCUCUCUCUUACUGCACCAGUUCACAACACUGACACCGGUCCCCCCAAAAGCAGUCAAACGCAGGUGUUUCUUAUGUGACGCCGCUUACUGCCUCCAAAAAAACCCAAGGGGUUUUCGAAUCGCAGAGCAUCAGCCACCUCGCGCUCAGAGCUCAGAAUCCUCCACCUUUACCUUCGAUAAUGGCGACUCAGAUGAUCUAAAAGCGAAAGGUUAGCCCCUCUUUUUUUAACUCUUCGUUUGUUUUGCGAGAUAACAGAAAAUGCGAAGCAAACAGAAACAAUCGUUUUUAAUUUUGCUUGGGGGUGUGUUCGUUUUGGUUAGUUGAGUUUGAUGGGUCAUGUACCAUGCGCGUGACUCAGACACUUGUCAUCUUUAUAAGCUCAAAGACCCAAGAAAUUUCUAUCCACUUUCCUCUUGGUAUAUGACUGUCUAAAUAGUAUUUUCACUAGUAGAUAACAUCCAGUUUUCUCAACCUCCAUUUGUGACCAAAGUCAGUGUGGUCUUAUUGGCAUUCUCUCUCUCUCUCUCAAAAGUCUAUUUAUCACAUCUCCUUCUUUCUCCUCUUCCUUUUGAAUAUUUUCAACUGUAUAUCCAAAUCACUAUGGAUUUUUUGACCAACAGAGGAAAGUCCCCUUCCUCUUUCACCCACCAAUGCAAAUAUGAUGUGUUCUUGAGUUUUAGAGGGGAAGAUACCCGCAAUAGUUUUACGGGUAAUUUGAAUGGCAUUUUGCGUCAUCAUGGUAUUAACACCUUCAUGGAUGAUGAGCUCCCGAGGGGUGAAGAAAUUUCUGCAGAACUUUUCGAUGCCAUUGAAAGUUCAAGAAUUUCGAUAAUUAUAUUCUCUAAAAAUUAUGCAUUUUCCACCUGGUGUUUGGAUGAACUUGUCAAAAUUCUUGAAUGUAAGAAGAAAGGCCAAAUUGUGCUACCAGUUUUUUACAAAGUGGAUCCAUCAGAAGUGCGUAACCAAGAGGGAAAAUUUGAAGAAGCUUUGAGAAAACAUGAAGAAGGGUUCAAGGAUAACAUGAAGGUGCAGAAAUGGAGGAUAGCUUUACAUGAAGCCGCCAGUAUAUCUGGAUGGCACUACAAAAAUGACCACCCUCAAUUUACAUUUAUCAAAGAAAUUUUUGAAGAUAUCUCAGGUGCUAAAUUAAAUUAUCCACAAAUAUUUGAUGUUAAAUACCCCGUUGGAAUAGAUUCUCGUGUAGAUGACAUAAAUUGGUGUUUAGAUAUUGAUUCAAAUGAUGUUCGUAUGGUAGUGAUCCAUGGCCUUCCUGGAAUAGGUAAGACAACAAUUGCAAAAGCUAUUUUUGACUUAAUUGCAUAUCGUUUUGAAGGAAGCAGCUUUCUAGAGGAUGUUAAAGAAAACUCAAGAACAAAAGAUGGCAUACUCCAAUUAAAAGAGACAUUUUAUUCUGAGAUCUUAGGAGGUAGAACUUUGAAGGUGCCUGGUGUAUUUAGAAGAAUCAAUGUGAGAAUGGAAAUGCUUCAACACAAAAGAAUUCUUUUAAUUCUUGAUGAUGUUGACAAAUUAAUCCAAAUUAAAAAUUUGCUUGGAGAAUGCAAUCGGUUUGCUCUUGGAAGUAGAAUCAUUAUCACUGCAAGAGAGGAAAAGUUUCUAUCUACUUUUCAAGAGGAUUUUCGUUUUACCUACUAUGACUACAAGGUUAAGGAAUUAGAUGAACAUGAAUCUCGUACACUUUUUUGUCAACAUGCAUUCAAAAGAAGCAAGCCUAAGGAGGAUUAUUUGGAACUCGUAGACUCAUUUAUACAUUAUGCCAAAGGCCUUCCAUUAGCUUUAGAAAUAAUAGGUGCUGAUUUGCAUAAGAGAAAUACACGUUCUUGGAAAAGUGCAUUAGAUAAGUACAAAAGAAUUCUUAAUCCGGAUAUUCAAAAAGUACUCAAAAUAAGCUAUGAAGGAUUGGAUCAAACUCAACGGGAUAUUUUCCUUGAUAUUGCAUGUUUUCUGAAGGGAUCAAACAAGGAUGUUGUUGAACAUAUACUACAAAGUUGCAAUUCUUACGACCCAUAUUACGAUAUUGAAAUACUUAAUGAUAAGUCUCUCAUAGUUUUUGCUAAAGAUGGCAAGUUAUUGAUGCAUGACUUGAUACAACAAAUGGGUUUAGAAAUUGUCAGACAAGAAUUAGAAUUGUCAAAGAAACAUGAAAGGUUAAUAUGUUAUGAUGAUGCUCCUGAAGUAUUAAUUCCAGAUACGGGAUCAGAAGAAGUUCGUGGCAUAUCAUUGUGCUUACCACAGCCAAGAAGCAUGCAAUUGGAUUUCAGAAAGAUGAAAAAUCUCAAAUAUUUGAUAGUUCAUAACGUAAUUUGUGAAAAUCUUAACUAUCUUCCAAAUGAGUUAAGAUUAAUUGAUUGGAAUGAAUUUCCUUUAUCUUCCUUGCUGGCCAUUGUUAAUCUUCAAAAACUUGUUGCACUUAAUAUGCCAAGAAGCCACAUUAAAUUGGAUGAGCAUUUCGAGAGAUGUCGGUUCACAACUUUGAAAUAUAUUGACUUCAGUGACUGUAAAAACAUUACCAAAUUACCUAACUUAUCGGUGAUUGCCCCAAACAUAAAGAAGUUGGAACUUAAUAGAUGUGAAAAUUUAGUUGAGAUUCAUCAAGCAGUUGGACUUCUUGAAGAGCUUGAAUUUUGGAGUCUCCAAGCAUGUAAAAAUCUUGAAAUUAUUCCAAGAAACCUCAAGUUGAAAUCUCUAAAAUGGUUUUAUUUCUAUGACUAUGAAAGUCUUGAGAAGUUUCCCGAUAUUGGGCAAAGAACGAAAAGAUUAGCUCUGCCUUCAUCAGUUGGAAAUCUCACUAGCCUUCAUACAUUAGCCAUCGGUUUUAAAAACAUUAAAGAACUUCCAAGUAGCCUCUCUAAAUUACAAAAUCUUAGGAAGCUCUAUUUGUUUGAUUUUGAAAAUUUUCCAAAGAUCUUGGAUACUCCUGAUUGCUUCCCCAAAUUAGAAGUUUUGUUUUUUUGGGACAGCAACACUGCUACUCUCCCCGACAUCGCUAGCAGAUUUCCUCAAUUAAUGGUCCUUCAUAUUCAAGGGUGCUGGAAUCUUCGGGAAAUUCCAAGACUUCCAUCAUGUAUACGUUCUGUAGUUGCAACAGGAUGCAAUUCGUUGGAUUCACAAUCAAGAAGAAGAUUAUUGAGUCAGUUUGAAGAAAUGGUAGGGCUUCCACAGAAUAUUGUAUGUCCAAGCCGAUCAUUGCACCAGGAUUAUGCAUCUGAAACGGACUUUGCUCACAAAAAAGGGUUUUCAUUUAAACUUAAUGGUGGUGGACACAACCUUGUACUUUCAGGAACUGAGAUUCCAAAGUGGUUCAACCAUCAAAGUGUUGGAAGUUCCAUAUCAUUCUUGGUCGGUCAGAAAUCUCUAACAUUUGCUUGCUGUGCUGCUAUAAAAGUGGAACUAAAGGAUACUAAGCUAAGAAAUCUAUCUGUCCUGGGAGAAGGUGCUAUCUACAUUUUGAUUAAUGGUUAUAAAGGAUUGCUCACAAAUCCUGUAGCUUUUAUGAAUAUAUCAUUUUCAUCUUUUAUGUGGGUACACUAUAAAAGGGAUAUUUCUUUGGAAGGCAUAAUUCUAAAUGGGUGGACUGAAGUUAAGCUUCAAUUUGAAAUUUCAAAUUAUGAUCCAAAAAUUGCUGAAGUUACAAUAGAAAGGUGCGGGGUCCAUGUAGCAUGCAUAUGUUCUCCUCAGAACUCCGCUGUAGAUAAUGUGACUUGCAUAAGAAUUCAUGAAAGAUUAAAUGUGUCUUUUGAUGAAGGAUUAAAAUUUUUUUUAUCCAGAGUGGCUGCGGAAAUCCUCCCCUUUAAGCAGAAGCUGGUCAAAUGCUCUGAAACCCAAGAUGCCUAUUAUUGUCCUCUUUGUGAAAUAGCUGAAGAUUCAGUUUUACAUCUAUUUCAAUGCUGUCCCUAUGCCAAAGAAUUGUGGUAUGGUGGUAGAUGGAGCUUUCAAGUCGAAAUGAUACAAGCUCAAUCUGUUAUGGAAUUCAUUGAACAUAUAAUUGACCCCCCAAAGGAAUUACUGGCAGAGAGAUUGAAAAAAGAGGAAUUCACACUUUAUGCAGUAGUGGCAAUGAAAAUCCUUUGGUGUGCAAGGGAGGAUGCUUUGUUUUCAAACACUAAAGCUAGCAUAACUCAACUAGUCAAUCGUCUUAACAAACAAUAUGACUCUUACAUGAGAUCACUUGAAAUUACACGGGGAACUGAAGAGCAAAACAAGGGAAGUGCUUGGAUCAAGCCAACUGACCAAUGGGUAAAGCUUAAUUUUGAUGUGUCAUGUGAUCAAAAGAAUUUAGGCUUGGCUUUGGUUCUCAAAGAUCAAGAGGGAAAUGGCAAAGUAAUCAGACGUGGCAUAAACAUCAACGACAAGAUGGGCAAUGCCAUUGGACAAACAGGACAGACUUGAGCAAGUUGUGAUAGAGAGUAUAAUUUAUAAAGCUUGUUGUCGAGGAUUUCUCUUUGGGUUGAUCUGUUUGAAUUUUGUCAUCAUUUUCCGCACCAGUAGAAGGUGACACAGCAAGCAUCAUCAACUUCAUUGCAAUCCCUACCGGCUGGGAAUGGAAGAACAUAAUGAAGGAUAUUUCGGCUUGGCUUCUUCCCUGUAUAUGGAUGGGGUUUGAUAAUGACUCUAGUCUUCUUUUUCCUGUAAACUUUCCGACAACAGCAAAGAUGGCCUUGACCUUCUAUGCUGCAUGUAGGAUGUUGACUUCAAUCCAUAUCCAUUUUCGAAGAAAUGAGAACCUCUUUAUUGAACUUCUAAGAAUAUGCCAAGUCUCAUGGUCAAAUGCGCUGAGCUGAUUGUUUCCCUGGAGAGAAUCCCAACUGAUGUUGGCAAAGACACCAUUUUUCGGAAUAUUUCCAGAUAGCUGGUUUCCAGAAAUGUCCAUGAUGUCAAACUGUCUCAAAUGGCCAAAUUCGUUGGACAGAGAACUGCUUAAAGAGUUAUUUGCCAACAGCCAAAAUUUUAGCUGGGAAGCUGAAAAAAUUUGCUUUGGAAUGCUUCCAUUGAGUGCUGUCCUUGCUAGAACAAGCAUCCCUAAUUGCUGGCAUGUUGCUAUACUCAUGGGAAUUCUACCAAAUAACCGAUUGUUUGUCAUGUCGAGCUCAUAUAGCCGUGUAAAAUUGCUAAAGAUAUCCUGAAUUUCUCCAGAGAUCAAGUUGUCAGUAACCAUAAGUCUUUCUAGUUUCUGAAGUUUUCCAAUGGAGUUUGGUAUUUUGCCUUUGAAAAAAACUUUUCCAAUCUUUGAAUAAAUGUUGGAGAUUGACAGAGAGAUUUGCAACAGAA